Long non-coding RNA from Octodon degus (degu), 118 nucleotides. RefSeq lists it as uncharacterized. NCBI's taxonomy places the organism in Eukaryota, Metazoa, Chordata, Mammalia, Rodentia, Octodontidae. The record is from RefSeq and is a predicted model, not a curated record. The transcript has 3 exons.
GAAAGAAAUGGCAAUGAGACAAUUUCAAAACAGGUUAGAGGGACAGUUUCAGUAAUUAAUACAUUGCAUAUUGUUGUCGUCUUAGUGGUUAUUCAUAGUACAAGAUGCAGACAUGAUA